GACGAACGCUGGCGGCGUGCCUAAUACAUGCAAGUUGAGCGAUGAAGAUUGGUGCUUGCACCAAUUUGAAGAGCGGCGAACGGGUGAGUAACGCGUGGGGAAUCUGCCUUUGAGCGGGGGACAACAUUUGGAAACGAAUGCUAAUACCGCAUAACAACUUUAAACAUAAGUUUUAAGUUUGAAAGAUGCAAUUGCAUCACUCAAAGAUGAUCCCGCGUUGCAUUAGCUAGUUGGUGAGGUAAAGGCUCACCAAGGCGAUGAUACAUAGCCGACCUGAGAGGGUGAUCGGCCACAUUGGGACUGAGACACGGCCCAAACUCCUACGGGAGGCAGCAGUAGGGAAUCUUCGGCAAUGGACGAAAGUCUGACCGAGCAACGCCGCGUGAGUGAAGAAGGUUUUCGGAUCGUAAAACUCUGUUGGUAGAGAAGAACGUUGGUGAGAGUGGAAAGCUCAUCAAGUGACGGUAACUACCCAGAAAGGGACGGCUAACUACGUG
RNAcentral lists this ribosomal RNA (497 nucleotides) under uncultured bacterium. Its description in RNAcentral is "partial 16S ribosomal RNA". It matches the Rfam family "Bacterial small subunit ribosomal RNA", at positions 28 to 507 of the family's 1533-position model. The record is from RNAcentral.